This 382-nucleotide ribosomal RNA is filed under the name uncultured bacterium. Its description in RNAcentral is "bacterial SSU rRNA". It matches the Rfam family "Bacterial small subunit ribosomal RNA", at positions 524 to 906 of the family's 1533-position model. The record is from RNAcentral.
UACGAAGGGGGCUAGCGUUGUUCGGAAUUACUGGGCGUAAAGCGCGCGCAGGCGGCCUUUCAAGUCAGGGGUGAAAGCCCGGAGCUCAACUCCGGAAUUGCCUUUGAAACUGUUAGGCUUGAGUACGGGAGAGGUGAGUGGAAUUCCCAGUGUAGAGGUGAAAUUCGUAGAUAUUGGGAAGAACACCGGUGGCGAAGGCGGCUCACUGGCCCGUAACUGACGCUCAGGCGCGACAGCGUGGGGAUCAAACAGGAUUAGAUACCCUGGUAGUCCACGCCGUAAACGAUGAACGCUAGCCGUUGGCAAGCUUGCUUGUCAGUGGCGCAGCUAACGCAUUAAGCGUUCCGCCUGGGGAGUACGGCCGCAAGGUUGAAACUCAAAG